CAGCAGUCAAGAAUAUUAGUCAAUGCUCGCAAGAGUGAACUAGCUAACUGAAAUCCUUGGUGUGCCAUCGAGGAUAACGUAAGGGAAAAUAAUGAUAUUACCUUACUAUUAGUGUCGUCCAAGUGCUCGUGCCAGAAGACUCGGUAAGGCGAGAGACGCAAACGUUAUUCGUCUUGAUCAGGCGUAAAGGGUUUGUAGGCGGCUUUAAGUAUCUAAUUUUAAGUUUACUGUUUUAAUGCGAAAUUAAAUUAUUCCCAAAUUAUUUGAGGGAUAGGUAUUCUUUUCAAUGGUAAAGAUUAAUUUUUUUUUACCUCUGCCCCAACUCCAUCUAAGUGUUUUUAGAUGCGCACCCUUCUCCCUACCCUCUACCCUCUUUCUCCUUUUUUAUCUAUAAAAAAGGCAGAGGAGAUGAGGAGUUGGGGGCCGGAGCGAGAGGCAGGUGAUUAAAUUAAAUUAAUCCUAUUAAUUUAGCAUUUUAAUAUUUAUUAAAAGAUCAAUUAAAGCUAGAAUCUAGCAGAGGUUAAAACAAUACUUAAGGUAGGAGUACUAACCAUAAAUAAUAAGCAGAGUUUUAAGGGCGAAGGCUUUUAUCCACUACAGAUUGACGCUGAGAAACGAAGGUGAGGACAGAAAAAAGGAUUAGAGACCCUUGUAUCCCUCACUGUCAACGAUGAAUGGUAGUUACUAGGGAGAAAUGACCUAGAGACGAUGUUAACACGAAAACCAUUCCGCCUUGUGAGUACGACUGCAAAGUUGAAAACAAAAAAAUUAGUCGGUUUCGGAGCAAACGAAGUGAAGCAUGUUAUUUAAUUCGAUAAUCCGC
This 823-nucleotide ribosomal RNA is filed under the name Phellinus coronadensis. Its description in RNAcentral is "partial small subunit ribosomal RNA". It matches the Rfam family "Bacterial small subunit ribosomal RNA", at positions 349 to 962 of the family's 1533-position model. Lineage: Eukaryota; Fungi; Basidiomycota; Agaricomycetes; Hymenochaetales; Hymenochaetaceae. The record is from RNAcentral.